This is a long non-coding RNA of Mastomys coucha (southern multimammate mouse), 267 nucleotides long. RefSeq lists it as uncharacterized. The transcript is spliced from 2 exons. The record is from RefSeq and is a predicted model, not a curated record. NCBI's taxonomy places the organism in Eukaryota, Metazoa, Chordata, Mammalia, Rodentia, Muridae.
CGAGAUCCAGGUCAGAAACUUGUUUCUCCCAGCCUCCAGAUUAGGAUCACAGAUGCGGCAGCUGAGCCUGAGAGGUUACAUUACCUUGUCCAAAGUGACCUGGUGUAUAAGAGAGGGAAUGAAGGACGCGUCAUCCGGGGGAAAGCCUUGACCUUCCCACUCCUCACCUUGGACAAUUUACUUCUAAAUCCUGGCACAACUGGCUCCUUGUCAUGCAGAUGUUCACCCUGUCAGUCUGUCACAUGAAUGAUUCUUCUUCAUACCAGU